Macaca mulatta (Rhesus monkey) is the source of this 1094-nucleotide non-coding RNA. The record is from RefSeq and is a predicted model, not a curated record. NCBI's taxonomy places the organism in Eukaryota, Metazoa, Chordata, Mammalia, Primates, Cercopithecidae.
GAGAAGUAGUGAGAGGUCCCUGGGAGCUUCCCGGGCCUGUUUCAGAUCACCUCCAGUCCCUGGCUUUUAGUGAAAGGGUCUAUGGAUUCCAGCAGGUUCAAGUUCCUAGGGCCAAAUUUCACACUUCACUGCAGCAGGUGGUGAAAAGCAACCAAGACACUGGUACCUUCUUGGUUUUGACUUUAACAGUUCUCCAUUUGAAUGAUGGUCAAGAAGAUGAAAGAGAAACCACCCCGUUUCUGGCCUACUUCUCCCACCUGCAGUUACAGUGCUCAAAGUGGUCAUCUCCUACCACCAUAAAGAGACCCUUCUGGAAGGAAGAGAUGGAAGAACACCAAGUGCUGACAACCAAUACACUGUUGGGUCAAAUGCAAAGAGGAAACUGAAUUCCUCAACAAAUCCAUUACUUGGAAACUCAUUCCAAUUUUUCAACAAGAAAAGUAAGGGAUGGAUUUUCAAAAUUAGGGGCUAUUUUGCCAGCCUUUGGAUUGUCUCUACAACGGACAUCAUCCUCAAAAAAGCCUCAGGACAGAAAAGUCUGGACAUUCCUGAGCAUAAUAAAUUGGUAUGAUGGAUCCAAAAGAAAGGCACUUUGUUGAUGUUUUAAAUUAAGUAAAAGAAAAAAGCAUUAACAAGUGUACCAAACUUGGUGACUGGAAUUAGCAAACCAGGACAUACAUCCAAAAGUGUAAUCACAAGGUCACACGUUCACAUCUCAGCAUUAGCUCUGUGUCACUGUAAAUCGCCAUGCCAGCACUUUCCCUCCUCUUCAUUUUAUUUUAUUUUUCUAAAUUUAGAGUCAUUACAAAUGCUGCUAACUCAGAUAACUUAGUACCUAUGCACAAGGAGAAUGAAUCACAGUUUCGAUGCGACCCACCAAUUUAAAUGUCUUCCCUUUGUAUAUUUCCAUUUCCAAUGACAGUAUCUCCAUCACCAUGUAUCAUUUUCUGGUGUUCAUUCUUGAGGACUUAGGCAUCUGCAUGAAUUUGCCUGAAGAAUCUCUACAUAUAUUCAUUACAAACUGUAACUUUCCUUUCGAAAAUGAUUCCAUUAAAUAAUUUUUAUACUCCCAUUUUCUUACCAAGUAAUUUAUC